GAUGAACGCUGGCGGCGUGCCUAAUACACGCAAGUCGAGCGAACGGACGAGAAGCUUGCUUCUCUGAUGUUAGCGGCGGACGGGUGAGUAACACGUGGAUAACCUACCUAUAAGACUGGGAUAACUUCGGGAAACCGGAGCUAAUACCGGAUAAUAUUUUGAACCGCAUGGUUCAAAAGUGAAAGACGGUCUUGCUGUCACUUAUAGAUGGAUCCGCGCUGCAUUAGCUAGUUGGUAAGGUAACGGCUUACCAAGGCAACGAUGCAUAGCCGACCUGAGAGGGUGAUCGGCCACACUGGAACUGAGACACGGUCCAGACUCCUACGGGAGGCAGCAGUAGGGAAUCUUCCGCAAUGGGCGAAAGCCUGACGGAGCAACGCCGCGUGAGUGAUGAAGGUCUUCGGAUCGUAAAACUCUGUUAUUAGGGAAGAACAUAUGUGUAAGUAACUGUGCACAUCUUGACGGUACCUAAUCAGAAAGCCACGGCUAACUACGUGCCAGCAGCCGCGGUAGUACGUAGGUGGCAAGCGUUAUCCGGAAUUAUUGGGCGUAAAGCGCGCGUAGGCGGUUUUUUAAGUCUGAUGUGAAAGCCCACGGCUCAACCGUGGAGGGUCAUUGGAAACUGGAAAACUUGAGUGCAGAAGAGGAAAGUGGAAUUCCAUGUGUAGCGGUGAAAUGCGCAGAGAUACGGAGGAACACCAGUGGCGAAGGCGACUUUCUGGUCUGUAACUGACGCUGAUGUGCGAAAGCGUGGGGAUCAAACAGGAUUAGAUACCCUGGUAGUCCACGCCGUAAACGAUGAGUGCUAAGUGUUAGGGGGUUUCCGCCCCUUAGUGCUGCAGCUAACGCAUUAAGCACUCCGCCUGGGGAGUACGACCGCAAGGUUGAAACUCAAAGGAAUUGACGGGGACCCGCACAAGCGGUGGAGCAUGUGGUUUAAUUCGAAGCAACGCGAAGAACCUUACCAAAUCUUGACAUCCUUUGACAACUCUAGAGAUAGAGCUUUCCCCUUCGGGGGACAAAGUGACAGGUGGUGCAUGGUUGUCGUCAGCUCGUGUCGUGAGAUGUUGGGUUAAGUCCCGCAACGAGCGCAACCCUUAAGCUUAGUUGCCAUCAUUAAGUUGGGCACUCUAAGUUGACUGCCGGUGACAAACCGGAGGAAGGUGGGGAUGACGUCAAAUCAUCAUGCCCCUUAUGAUUUGGGCUACACACGUGCUACAAUGGACAAUACAAAGGGCAGCGAAACCGCGAGGUCAAGCAAAUCCCAUAAAGUUGUUCUCAGUUCGGAUUGUAGUCUGCAACUCGACUACAUGAAGCUGGAAUCGCUAGUAAUCGUAGAUCAGCAUGCUACGGUGAAUACGUUCCCGGGUCU
This 1372-nucleotide ribosomal RNA is filed under the name uncultured bacterium. RNAcentral describes it as "bacterial SSU rRNA". It matches the Rfam family "Bacterial small subunit ribosomal RNA", at positions 28 to 1381 of the family's 1533-position model. The record is from RNAcentral.